AGGAUGAACGCUGGCGGCGUGCCUAACACAUGCAAGUCGAACGUCCUGUCUCGCAAGAGGCAGGGAGUGGCGGACGGGUGAGUACCACGUGGGUUAUCUACCGUGAGGUGAGGAAUACCGGCGAGAAAUCGCCGACAAGACCGCAUAGCCUCGGUGCAAGCCGAGGAAAGCUUUCUCGAGAGAGGGAGCGCCACACGAGGAGCCUGCGCCCGAUUAGCUAGCUGGUGGAGUAACGGUUCACCAGGGCGACGAUCGGUAGCUGGUCUGAGAGGACGAUCAGCCACACUGGGAUUGAGAACGGCCCAGACUCCUACGGGGGGCAGCAGUGAGGAAUUUUCGUCAAUGGGGGCAACCCUGAACGAGCAACGCCGCGUGCAGGAAGAAGGUUUUCGGAUCGUAAACUGCUUUUCUCGGGGAAGAGGAACGGACGGUACCCGAGGAAUCAGCCCCGGCUAACUACGUGCCAGUAGCCGC
RNAcentral lists this ribosomal RNA (474 nucleotides) under uncultured bacterium. RNAcentral describes it as "SSU rRNA". It matches the Rfam family "Bacterial small subunit ribosomal RNA", at positions 26 to 518 of the family's 1533-position model. The record is from RNAcentral.